GAUGAACGCUGGCGGCGUGCUUAACACAUGCCAGUCGAACGGAAAGGCCCAAGCUUGCUUGGGUACUCGAGUGGCGAACGGGUGAGUAACACGUGGGUGAUCUGCCCUGCACUUCGGGAUAAGCCUGGGAAACUGGGUCUAAUACCGGAUAGGACCACUUCUUGGAUGUUGUGGUGGAAAGUUUUUUCGGUGUGGGAUGAGCUCGCGGCCUAUCAGCUUGUUGGUGGGGUAAUGGCCUACCAAGGCGUCGACGGGUAGCCGGCCUGAGAGGGUGUACGGCCGCAUUGGGACUGAGGUACGGCCCAGACGCCUACGGGAGGCAGCAGUGGGGAAUAUUGCACAAUGGGCGCAGGCCUGAUGCAGCGACGCCGCGUGGGGGAUGACGGCCUUCGGGUUGUAAACUCCUUUCGCUAGGGACGAAGCGUUUUGUGACGGUACCUGGAGAAGAAGCACCGGCUAACUACGUG
RNAcentral lists this ribosomal RNA (467 nucleotides) under uncultured bacterium. RNAcentral describes it as "partial 16S ribosomal RNA". It matches the Rfam family "Bacterial small subunit ribosomal RNA", at positions 28 to 507 of the family's 1533-position model. The record is from RNAcentral.